Ostrea edulis (European flat oyster) is the source of this 615-nucleotide long non-coding RNA. RefSeq lists it as uncharacterized. The transcript is spliced from 2 exons. The record is from RefSeq and is a predicted model, not a curated record. NCBI's taxonomy places the organism in Eukaryota, Metazoa, Mollusca, Bivalvia, Ostreida, Ostreidae.
UGAAAUCAAAGAAUGAGAAAAUAUAUCCGAACAUUAAAGACUAUGAAACAUGUAAUCUUGAACCUGAUUCCAUUUCUCACCUUAUCUCUGAUUCCAACAAUCAUGAUUGUAAUAACGGUUACUGCAAAACAGAUAUUCCUUGUCAUGUACAAACAAAGCAAGCAUCAACUAGCAUUGUAAGUAAUAGCGACGUACUCAACAAGGACACGACAUUCGCUCUUAACAAAUUAAUUGCCAACAAUCCAGGUACAAAACGAAGAACUUCAAAUCGAUUUCUUAACAAAUCAAUUACUAGUAAUCCAGGUAUAAAAGAAAAUACUUCAAAUGGAUUUAUUAACAAUUCGAUUACCAGUAAACCAGGUAGAAAAGGGAGUACUUCGAAUGGAUGACAGGAAAUCACUGACUGUAUAAUUCCAUGGUUGCAUUAUGUGAUCUACAAUCCAAACCUUAUUUGAUGCAACAUGUACAUUGUAUGUAUCCUUGUUUUAACUUACAUACAUCGUGUUAACAUCGCAUUUGUUGAAUGUUCCCCACAGAACAUGGAAUAUCUUAAUACGUUUUGAAAUCAGUGUUGUAUAACUAUGUUUCAGAAAUAAACAGUUAUUAACAUUAAAA